UGGGGAGUAUUGGACAAUGGGGGCAACCCUGAUCCAGCAAUGCCGCGUGGGUGAUGAAGGCCUUCGGGUUGUAAAGCCCUUUCGGCGGGGACGAUGAUGACGGUACCCGCAGAAGAAGCCCCGGCUAACUUCGUGCCAGCAGCCGCGGUAAUACGAAGGGGGCUAGCGUUGUUCGGAAUGACUGGGCGUAAAGGGCGCGUAGGCGGCGAUUUUAGUCAGGCGUGAAAGCCCUGGGCUCAACCUAGGAACUGCGUUUGAUACUGGAUCGCUUGAGUGUGGGAGAGGAUGGUGGAAUUCCCAGUGUAGAGGUGAAAUUCGUAGAUAUUGGGAAGAACACCGGUGGCGAAGGCGGCCAUCUGGACCACUACUGACGCUGAGGCGCGAAAGCGUGGGGAGCAAA
RNAcentral lists this ribosomal RNA (400 nucleotides) under uncultured bacterium. Its description in RNAcentral is "bacterial SSU rRNA". It matches the Rfam family "Bacterial small subunit ribosomal RNA", at positions 355 to 772 of the family's 1533-position model. The record is from RNAcentral.